GACGAACGCUGGCGGCGUGCUUAACACAUGCCAGUCGAACGGAAAGGCCUCUUUCGGGGGGUACUCGGGUGGCGAACGGGUGAGUAACACGUGAGUAACCUGCCCUUGACUUUGGGAUAACUUCAGGAAACUGGGGCUAAUACCGGAUAGGAGCUCCUGCUGCAUGGUGGGGGUUGGAAAGUUUCGGCGGUUGGGGAUGGACUCGCGGCUUAUCAGCUUGUUGGUGGGGUAGUGGCUUACCAAGGCUUUGACGGGUAGCCGGCCUGAGAGGGUGACCGGCCACAUUGGGACUGAGAUACGGCCCAGACUCCUACGGGAGGCAGCAGUGGGGAAUAUUGCACAAUGGGUGGAAGCCUGAUGCAGCAACGCCGUGUGCGGGAUGACGGCCUUCGGGUUGUAAACCGCUUUCGCUCAUGACGAAGCUUUGUGUGACGGUAGUGGGUAAAGAAGCACCGGCUAACUACGUG
This 467-nucleotide ribosomal RNA is filed under the name uncultured bacterium. RNAcentral's name for it is "partial 16S ribosomal RNA". It matches the Rfam family "Bacterial small subunit ribosomal RNA", at positions 28 to 507 of the family's 1533-position model. The record is from RNAcentral.